UUAUGUAUGUAUGCCUUACUUUUAGCAAGAGCGCACAAAAUCAAAUCCGAGUUUCUAGCUUGCUUCAGAAUAAUGAACACAAAAAUGUAUUAUGACGGCAAACUGGUUUUAUGUGUAUUGGUUUGUGCUGAGGAGGAGGAAAUUCUUUACUGUGACACAAUAUGGGCGUGACAAAACCAAUGAAAUGGAAGAUUAAAGUACAGGAAACACUUAACUCAUCGGUCUGAAGGAACUGACUUAAGUGGAUUUUCAGUCCAAGAGAAAACAUCUGUUUAUUAAUCCAGAAGUAAAGUGGCUAGUUUGCAGAAGAAAGUAUGGCCAGCUUUUAUGAUGACUUUGAUGCACCAUUUGAAUCCCGUUUGGAGCGUGACAUAAAGAGAGGUAGGAGGACAUACAUCAUGUACCAUGGCACCACCCUGACAGCUGCAUUUAAUAUUCAAAAACACGGAUUUCGGCCAUCCAUCGAUGGCAUGCUUGGACCUGGAGUCUAUGUCAGUCGGAGCUUUCGGAAGGCCAGAGUCUACCCAAAAAAUCUACCCUACAAUGAGCAGCGAGCUGUACUCAAGCUGAGGAUUCGAGUAGGAAAAGUAAAGAAGAUCGACCGGCAGGGACACCCCCUCCAAAAAACCUGGCAUGAGAAUGGGUAUGACACAGCCUGGGUGCCCCCCAAGUGCGGAAUGGUUCCCAGUGGUUUGGAGGAAGAUUGUGUUUGGGAUCCCAGCAGGAUUGAAGUUUUAUCCAUAAUCCCAGUAUAGUUCUUUAUAAUCUUCUUGUCACGAUUGCAGGCGUGCUGAGCGGCGAUCGUGCAGGUAGGCAGGUAAGGAGCAGGCAAACUGGCAGGAAUCGGGGCAAAACUCAGGGUUUAUUGGGUGAUCGGGACUUGGAACAGGUAACACGAAGACUACCAUCACCAAACCACAAUGAACUACAAUCAACUACAAUGACGGACAGGGGAGACAAGCAAGACCAGGACUUAAAUAGGACAGGACCAAUCAAAAUAAGCGGACACAGAUGGAGACAAUCAGGGAAGUACACGUGGAUAAUCAAGGGGGCGUGGCACACACGAGGAGCGGACGAGCCGGGCAUGACACUUCUCUUGUGGAACACAAAUGUCAUUUUGGAAUUGUUAAUAUAAUUGUAUUACUCAUCUUUAUUCUCUGUCACUUCCUUCUUUUUAACAGUUUAGGGAAUGCAUUGUUCUUUAAAACUCAGUACAUAAAUGUUUAUUUUGAUCAAAUACAAUAAUAUUCUGUGGAGGUUGGCUUCUUUAGUAAGACGCUGUUGAUCUUUGAUUAAUCAUAGGAAAAAUCCAUACAAGUAUUACAGCAUCCAGUUUUAUUCGAUUAUAUGGAUGGAUGGAUGAAAAUGGAAUAUAUGUAUGAAUGUAGGAAGACAAUAAUAAAAAACACAAUAUGAACGACUUC
This is a long non-coding RNA of Brienomyrus brachyistius, 1424 nucleotides long. RefSeq lists it as uncharacterized. The transcript is spliced from 2 exons. The record is from RefSeq and is a predicted model, not a curated record. NCBI's taxonomy places the organism in Eukaryota, Metazoa, Chordata, Actinopteri, Osteoglossiformes, Mormyridae.